RNAcentral lists this non-coding RNA (214 nucleotides) under Fictibacillus arsenicus. RNAcentral's name for it is "T-box sequence". It matches the Rfam family "T-box leader". Rfam says of the family: Uncharged tRNA acts as the effector for transcription antitermination of genes in the T-box leader family. Lineage: Bacteria; Bacillati; Bacillota; Bacilli; Caryophanales; Fictibacillaceae. The record is from RNAcentral.
CAAAAAUCGUUGAAAGAGAUAAGUACGUUUAGUCCUUUCUAAAGAGAGAAACAUCCACCGGCUGAAAGGUGUUUCAGAAAGAAGGAAACGGAAAGCUACUCUGGAGUGCAGAAGGAAAAUCUGCCGUUAAGCCGCGUUAAGGCUGUAAUCAAGGUGACAUGUUUUUACAUGUAACCAGGGUGGUACCGCGUGAAUUCAAACUCUCGUCCCUGUU